RNAcentral lists this ribosomal RNA (608 nucleotides) under Vibrio sp. HM12-27. Its description in RNAcentral is "bacterial SSU rRNA". It matches the Rfam family "Bacterial small subunit ribosomal RNA", at positions 20 to 607 of the family's 1533-position model. Lineage: Bacteria; Pseudomonadati; Pseudomonadota; Gammaproteobacteria; Vibrionales; Vibrionaceae. The record is from RNAcentral.
UGGCUCAGAUUGAACGCUGGCGGCAGGCCUAACACAUGCAAGUCGAGCGGAAACGACACUAACAAUCCUUCGGGUGCGUUAAUGGGCGUCGAGCGGCGGACGGGUGAGUAAUGCCUAGGAAAUUGCCUUGAUGUGGGGGAUAACCAUUGGAAACGAUGGCUAAUACCGCAUAAUGCCUACGGGCCAAAGAGGGGGACCUUCGGGCCUCUCGCGUCAAGAUAUGCCUAGGUGGGAUUAGCUAGUUGGUGAGGUAAUGGCUCACCAAGGCGACGAUCCCUAGCUGGUCUGAGAGGAUGAUCAGCCACACUGGAACUGAGACACGGUCCAGACUCCUACGGGAGGCAGCAGUGGGGAAUAUUGCACAAUGGGCGAAAGCCUGAUGCAGCCAUGCCGCGUGUAUGAAGAAGGCCUUCGGGUUGUAAAGUACUUUCAGUUGUGAGGAAGGGGGUAGCGUUAAUAGCGCUAUCUCUUGACGUUAGCGACAGAAGAAGCACCGGCUAACUCCGUGCCAGCAGCCGCGGUAAUACGGAGGGUGCGAGCGUUAAUCGGAAUUACUGGGCGUAAAGCGCAUGCAGGUGGUUCAUUAAGUCAGAUGUGAAAGCCCGGGG